GGACUUCACUAGGGUGUGACUUCUUUUCUCAGUCAAUGCUUGUAACCAUCUUCUAGGGUUACUGGGAGGAUUCGUUGAGCUCACACACAUCAGAGUUACAAGAGUGCUGGGCUGGUAGAAAGCACACAUCCAGUGUUAUAUGCGCACGUUACUCUUUAUUAACAAACCAGAAUUUCAUCACAAGGCAGCGUUGUUGCAGCAGAACGGCCCACAGUCUGGCAUCAGAAAGACCUGGAAUCAGUUACCUGCUUUCCUCUUUAUUGGCCACAUGACCUUGGAGGAAUGCCUUCCCCAUGCUGCUCCUCAGUUUCCCCACUUAUAAGAUGGGCCCAGUCAUGGUACAGGACUGUGCUGCCUCCAGGCAAUAACAAAUAUCAAAC
This 380-nucleotide long non-coding RNA is filed under the name Pan troglodytes (chimpanzee). Its description in RNAcentral is "long non-coding RNA NONPTRT008233". The record is from RNAcentral. Lineage: Eukaryota; Metazoa; Chordata; Mammalia; Primates; Hominidae.